This 319-nucleotide ribosomal RNA is filed under the name uncultured Coxiella sp. RNAcentral's name for it is "partial 16S ribosomal RNA". It matches the Rfam family "Bacterial small subunit ribosomal RNA", at positions 79 to 387 of the family's 1533-position model. Lineage: Bacteria; Pseudomonadati; Pseudomonadota; Gammaproteobacteria; Legionellales; Coxiellaceae. The record is from RNAcentral.
AUAGCUCCCAGGCGGCGAGUGGCGGACGGGUGAGUAAUACGUAGGAAUCUACCUUAUAGUGGGGGAUAACCUGAGGAAACUCGGGCUAAUACCGCAUAAUCUCCGUCUUUUUUUGGAUGGAGUAAAGUGGGGGAUCUUCGGACCUCGCGCUAUAAGAUGAGCCUAUGUCGGAUUAGCUUGUUGGUGAGGUAAUGGCUCACCAAGGCGACGAUCCGUAGCUGGUCUGAGAGGACGAUCAGCCACACUGGGACUGAGACACGGCCCAGACUCCUACGGGAGGCAGCAGUGGGGAAUCUUGGACAAUGGGGGGAACCCUAGA